AAUGGAGGAAACUCUGAUGCAGCGACGCCGCGUGAGGGAAGAAGCUUUUCGGAUUGUACACCUCUGUCUUCGGGGACGAUAAUGACGGUACCCGAGGAGGCAGCUACGGCUAACUACGUGCCAGCAGCCGCGGUAAUACGUCGGUGGCAAGCGCUGUCCGAAAUUACUGGGUGUAAAGGGAGCGUAGGCGGUUUGGUAAGUUGAGUGUGAAAUCUACCGGCUUAACUGGUAGGCUGCGCUCAAAACUACCAAACUUGAGUGAAGUAGAGGCAGGCUGAAUUCCCGGUGUAGCGGUGGAAUGCGUAGAUAUCGGGAGGAACACCAGUGGCGAAGGCGGCCUGCUGGGCUUUUACUGACGCUGAGGCUCGAAAUCAUGGGGAGCAAA
Molecule: ribosomal RNA, 385 nt
Filed under: uncultured bacterium
Lineage: Bacteria
Description: bacterial SSU rRNA
Rfam family: Bacterial small subunit ribosomal RNA
Source: RNAcentral